UACGUAGGGUGCGAGCGUUGUCCGGGAUUAUUGGGCGUAAAGGGCUCGUAGGCGGUUUGUCGCGUUGGGAGUGAAAACUCAGGGCUUAACCCUGAGCCUGCUUCCGAUACGGGCAGACUAGAGGUAUGCAGGGGAGAACGGAAUUCCUGGUGUAGCGGUGAAAUGCGCAGAUAUCAGGAGGAACACCGGUGGCGAAGGCGGGUCUCUGGGCCGAUACUGACGCUGAGGAGCGAAAGCGUGGGGAGCGAACAGG
This 253-nucleotide ribosomal RNA is filed under the name uncultured bacterium. Its description in RNAcentral is "partial 16S ribosomal RNA". It matches the Rfam family "Bacterial small subunit ribosomal RNA", at positions 524 to 776 of the family's 1533-position model. The record is from RNAcentral.